AGAUUUCCCAUCCAUGGAAGGUGAUGCCUCUGGACCACAUCACACAGGCUUCUUUGCCAGCUGACCUCCUGCUGGGUUCAGCGACUCAGGAGUCCCUGUAGUGAACACAUCAUGCAAGAAUAACAACCAUAUGGCUCACAACAGAUGGCAGAAAAGUAAUAAACAAAAGGAAGAUGGAUGGAACUGGAGAUUUUCACAUUAAAUGAAAUAAGCCAGACUCAGAAAGAGUUGUUCUCUGGGAAAUUUACUGAAACUGUCGGGGAGCUGCCGUCUUUAAGAAUUUCAUCUCAGAAAGCGAGAGAAAUUCUGGGCUGUGAGAACCCGGAACGCAGGAGUGCUGAGCACUGCCCACGGACAUGCUGAAGAUGAAAAUGAGCCCAGAGUAUAAUUUUUCAACCACAAUCACACUUCAAGGGAGGACAUAGGACCAGGGAGGAAACUUGAGUCUCCAGGUACCAGACAGAAGAUGGUGGAAAGCUUUGCCUAUCACCUUUCCCAAAUGACGGAGGACCUCGCAGUAAGGAGGUAUCUCAGGUGUAGUGGUGCCUACCUGUAAUCCCAACACUUGGGAGGCUGAGGCAGCAGGAUCUUAGUGAAUUUGAGGCUGCACCCAUCAGACACAUGUAUAGGGGCCACCCUGCUCCAGCACACUGAUUUACCAACCGUGCUGAGACACGAAACUUUGAAACUUUGAAAUUCCUAUUACUGUCAGAUUGGUGGACCAAUCACCUCCAACA
Long non-coding RNA from Cavia porcellus (domestic guinea pig), 737 nucleotides. RefSeq lists it as uncharacterized. The transcript is spliced from 8 exons. Lineage: Eukaryota; Metazoa; Chordata; Mammalia; Rodentia; Caviidae. The record is from RefSeq and is a predicted model, not a curated record.